CUUCCACCAGACUAGAACCAC
This 21-nucleotide small RNA is filed under the name Arabidopsis thaliana (thale cress). RNAcentral's name for it is "ATSL155030". Lineage: Eukaryota; Viridiplantae; Streptophyta; Magnoliopsida; Brassicales; Brassicaceae. The record is from RNAcentral.